UACGGGGGGAGCAAGCGUUGUUCGGAUUUACUGGGCGUAAAGGGCGCGUAGGCGGCGCAACAAGUCACUUGUGAAAUCUCCGGGCUUAACCCGGAGCGGCCAAGUGAUACUGUCGUGCUAGAGUGCGGAAGGGGCUACUGGAAUUCUCGGUGUAGCGGUGAAAUGCGUAGAUAUCGAGAGGAACACCUGCGGCGAAGGCGGGUUGCUGGGCUGACACUGACGCUGAGGCGCGAAAGCGUGGGGAGCGAACAGG
RNAcentral lists this ribosomal RNA (253 nucleotides) under uncultured bacterium. RNAcentral's name for it is "partial 16S ribosomal RNA". It matches the Rfam family "Bacterial small subunit ribosomal RNA", at positions 524 to 776 of the family's 1533-position model. The record is from RNAcentral.